This 495-nucleotide ribosomal RNA is filed under the name uncultured bacterium. RNAcentral describes it as "partial 16S ribosomal RNA". It matches the Rfam family "Bacterial small subunit ribosomal RNA", at positions 28 to 507 of the family's 1533-position model. The record is from RNAcentral.
GACGAACGCUGGCGGCGUGCCUAAUACAUGCAAGUAGAACGCUGAAGGAGGAGCUUGCUCUUCUGGAUGAGUUGCGAACGGGUGAGUAACGCGUAGGUAACCUGCCUGGUAGCGGGGGAUAACUAUUGGAAACGAUAGCUAAUACCGCAUAAGAGUAGAUGUUGCAUGACAUUUGCUUAAAAGGUGCAAUUGCAUCACUACCAGAUGGACCUGCGUUGUAUUAGCUAGUUGGUGGGGUAACGGCUCACCAAGGCGACGAUACAUAGCCGACCGGAGAGGGGGAUCGGCCACCCUGGGACGGAGACACGGCCCAGACUCCUACGGGAGGCAGCAGUAGGGAAUCUUCGGCAAUGGACGGAAGUCUGACCGAGCAACGCCGCGUGAGUGAAGAAGGUUGUCGGAUCGUAAAGCUCGGUUGUAAGAGAAGAACGAGUGUGAGAGUGGAAAGUUCACACUGUGACGGUAUCUGACCAGAAAGAGACGGCUAACUACGUG